Molecule: ribosomal RNA, 426 nt
Filed under: uncultured prokaryote
Description: bacterial SSU rRNA
Rfam family: Bacterial small subunit ribosomal RNA
Source: RNAcentral
UGGGGAAUUUUCCGCAAUGGGGGGAACCCUGACGGAGCAACGCCGCGUGCGGGAGGACGGCCUGUGGGUUGUAAACCGCUUUUCUCUGGGAAGAAGCUCUGACGGUACCAGAGGAAUCAGCAUCGGCUAACUCCGUGCCAGCAGCCGCGGUAAUACGGAGGGGGCAAGCGUUGUUCGGAAUUACUGGGCGUAAAGGGCGCGUAGGCGGUCUGUCGCGUCAGGUGUGAAAGCCCCGGGCUCAACCUGGGAGGUGCACUUGAUACGGGCGGGCUAGAAUCCGGGAGAGGAUGGUGGAAUUCCCAGUGUAGAGGUGAAAUUCGUAGAUAUUGGGAAGAACACCGAUGGCGAAGGCAGCCAUCUGGCCCGGGAUUGACGCUGAGGCGCGAAAGCGUGGGGAGCAAACAGGAUUAGAUACCCCUGUAGUCC